AUGAACGCUGGCGGCGUGCCUAAUACAUGCAAGUCGAGCGCACAGACGAGGAGCUUGCUCCUCUGACGUUAGCGGCGGACGGGUGAGUAACACGUGGAUAACCUACCUAUAAGACUGGGAUAACUUCGGGAAACCGGAGCUAAUACCGGAUAAUAUAUUUAACCGCAUGGUUCAAUAGUGAAAGACGGUUUUGCUGUCACUUAUAGAUGGAUCCGCGCCGCAUUAGCUAGUUGGUAAGGUAACGGCUUACCAAGGCAACGAUGCGUAGCCGACCUGAGAGGGUGAUCGGCCACACUGGAACUGAGACACGGUCCAGACUCCUACGGGAGGCAGCAGUAGGGAAUCUUCCGCAAUGGGCGAAAGCUUGACGGAGCAACGCCGCGUGAGUGAUGAAGGUCUUCGGAUCGUAAAACUCUGUUAUUAGGGAAGAACAAAUGUGUAAGUAACUAUGCACGUCUUGACGGUACCUAAUCAGAAAGCCACGGCUAACUACGUG
RNAcentral lists this ribosomal RNA (496 nucleotides) under uncultured bacterium. RNAcentral describes it as "partial 16S ribosomal RNA". It matches the Rfam family "Bacterial small subunit ribosomal RNA", at positions 29 to 507 of the family's 1533-position model. The record is from RNAcentral.